CCGGCACGGGUGAGUAACACGUAUCCAACCUGCCGUCUACUCUUGGCCAGCCUUCUGAAAGGAAGAUUAAUCCAGGAUGGGAUCAUGAGUUCACAUGUCCGCAUGAUUAAAGGUAUUUUCCGGUAGACGAUGGGGAUGCGUUCCAUUAGAUAGUAGGCGGGGUAACGGCCCACCUAGUCAACGAUGGAUAGGGGUUCUGAGAGGAAGGUCCCCCACAUUGGAACUGAGACACAGUCCAA
This 239-nucleotide ribosomal RNA is filed under the name uncultured bacterium. RNAcentral describes it as "partial 16S ribosomal RNA". It matches the Rfam family "Bacterial small subunit ribosomal RNA", at positions 100 to 334 of the family's 1533-position model. The record is from RNAcentral.